Notothenia coriiceps (black rockcod) is the source of this 110-nucleotide long non-coding RNA. RefSeq lists it as uncharacterized. The transcript has 3 exons. The record is from RefSeq and is a predicted model, not a curated record. NCBI's taxonomy places the organism in Eukaryota, Metazoa, Chordata, Actinopteri, Perciformes, Nototheniidae.
CCUUUACCAGCUUCAAAAAUGUUAUUUUCGGUUGAUUUUGAAAUGAAAGUUUCAUUUUCUGAAACCAAGAUUUGUUAUUAACUUUUUGUUUUAUAAUAACACUGCCGAAA